GGUGCGUAGGCGGACGUUUAAGUCAGUGGUGAAAGUUUGUAGCUCAACUAUAAAAUUGCCAUUGAAACUGAAUGUCUUGAGUGUAAAUGAGGUAGGCGGAAUGUGUUGUGUAGCGGUGAAAUGCUUAGAUAUAACACAGAACACCAAUUGCGAAGGCAGCUUACUAGGAUACAACUGACGCUGAGGCACGAAAGCGUGGGGAUCAAACAGGAUUAGAUACCCUGGUAGUCCACGCAGUAAACGAUGAAUACUAGCCGUAUGCGAUAUACUGUAUGUGGCAAAGCGAAAGCGUUAAGUAUUCCACCUGGGGAGUACGUUCGCAAGAAUGAAACUCAAAGGAAUUGACGGGGGCCCGCACAAGCGGAGGAACAUGUGGUUUAAUUCGAUGAUACGCGAGGAACCUUACCCGGGCUUGAAAUGCAGAGGAAUGACGAGGAAACUUGUCCGCCAGCAAUGGUCUCUGUGUAGGUGCUGCAUGGUUGUCGUCAGCUCGUGCCGUGAGGUGUCGGCUUAAGUGCCAUAACGAGCGCAACCCCUAUCAUUAGUUACUAACAGGUUAAGCUGAGGACUCUAGUGAGACUGCCACCGUAAGGUGUGAGGGAGGUGGGGAUGACGUCAAAUCAGCACGGCCCUUACGUCCGGGGCGACACACGUGUUACAAUGGGGGGUACAGAGGGUUGCUACUUGGUGACAAGAUGCUAAUCUCUUAAAGCCUCUCUCAGUUCGGAUCGAAGUCUGCAACUCGACUUCGUG
RNAcentral lists this ribosomal RNA (753 nucleotides) under uncultured beta proteobacterium. RNAcentral describes it as "bacterial SSU rRNA". It matches the Rfam family "Bacterial small subunit ribosomal RNA", at positions 566 to 1322 of the family's 1533-position model. The record is from RNAcentral. Lineage: Bacteria; Pseudomonadati; Pseudomonadota; Betaproteobacteria.